GCCAGCAGCUAGCUCUCUGCAAUUCUUACAAGGUACUCUUACUGAAGCUAAGCAGGGCUGUACUUGGUCUGUACCUGGAUGGGAGACCACAUGGGAAAGCUAGGUUGCUGCCGGAA
This is a ribosomal RNA of Danio rerio (zebrafish), 116 nucleotides long. NCBI's taxonomy places the organism in Eukaryota, Metazoa, Chordata, Actinopteri, Cypriniformes, Danionidae. The record is from Ensembl.